ACACGAGGAAGGAGGUGGUCUGAAGUUGAAGAACUACAGGACGCGUGAGGUGGCUGUCCGCUAGCCAACGAUGCUGAAGGGUUUCACCAACCGCCUCCGCGGCCGGCGAAUCCCAGCAGCCACCCGGCCCCCGAGUCUCCCGGCCAAGUCCGACCGGGAUCAGGACGUCAACGUCCGGCUCGGGGGUCGUUCUGC
This 195-nucleotide small RNA is filed under the name Rhodococcus sp. RD6.2. RNAcentral's name for it is "Actinobacteria sRNA Ms_IGR-5". It matches the Rfam family "Actinobacteria sRNA Ms_IGR-5". Lineage: Bacteria; Bacillati; Actinomycetota; Actinomycetes; Mycobacteriales; Nocardiaceae. The record is from Rfam by way of RNAcentral.